GACGAACGCUGGCGGCGUGCUUAACACAUGCAAGUCGAACGGAAAGGCCCUGCUUUUGUGGGGUGCUCGAGUGGCGAACGGGUGAGUAACAAGAGAGUAACCUGCCCUUGACUUAGGGAUAACUUCAGGAAACUGGGGCUAAUACCGGAUAGGAGUUCCUGCUGCAUGGUGGGGGUUGGAAAGUUUCGGCGGUUGGGGAUGGACUCGCGGCUUAUCAGCUUGUUGGUGGGGUAGUGGCUUACCAAGGCUUUGACGGGUAGCCGGCCUGAGAGGGUGACCGGCCACAUUGGGACUGAGAUACGGCCCAGACUCCUACGGGAGGCAGCAGUGGGGAAUAUUGCACAAUGGGCGGAAGCCUGAUGCAGCAACGCCGCGUGCGGGAUGACGGCCUUCGGGUUGUAAACCGCUUUCGCCUGUGACGAAGCGUGAGUGACGGUAAUGGGUAAAGAAGCACCGGCUAACUACGUG
Molecule: ribosomal RNA, 468 nt
Filed under: uncultured bacterium
Lineage: Bacteria
Description: partial 16S ribosomal RNA
Rfam family: Bacterial small subunit ribosomal RNA
Source: RNAcentral